AGCUCCAAUAGCGUAUAUUAAAGUUGUUGCAGUUAAAAAGCUCGUAGUCGGAUUUCUGGCUUGGAAGGGCGGUCCGUUUGGCCUUGCCAGAUGUGAACCAGCAUCUUCCAGCCAUCCUCGUGGAGAGCUGUCACCUAUUCGGAGGCAUGCAAUCCACGUCAUUUACUGUGAACAAAUUAGAGUGUUCAAAGCAGGCUUACGCCACUGAAUACAUUAGCAUGGAAUAAUCCUAUAGGACUUUGGUGAUUCUAUUGUUGGUUACGCACCAGAGUAAUGAUUAAUAGGGAUAGUUGGGGGUAUUCGUAUUCAAUUGUCAGAGGUGAAAUUCUUGGAUUUAUGGAAGACGAACAACUGCGAAAGCAUUUACCAAGGAUGUUUUCA
This 381-nucleotide ribosomal RNA is filed under the name uncultured eukaryote. RNAcentral's name for it is "SSU rRNA". It matches the Rfam family "Eukaryotic small subunit ribosomal RNA", at positions 587 to 972 of the family's 1831-position model. The record is from RNAcentral.